AUUGAACGCUGGGCGGCAUGCUUUACACAUGCCAAGUCGAACGGCAGCGGGGGCUUCGGCCUGCCGGCGAGUGGCGAACGGGUGAGUAAUGCAUCGGAACGUGCCCAUGUCGUGGGGGAUAACGUAGCGAAAGCUACGCUAAUACCGCAUGCGCCCUGAGGGGGAAAGCGGGGGAUUCUUCGGAACCUCGCGCGAUUGGAGCGGCCGAUGUCGGAUUAGCUAGUAGGUGAGGUAAAGGCUCACCUAGGCGACGAUCCGUAGCGGGUCUGAGAGGAUGAUCCGCCACACUGGGACUGAGACACGGCCCAGACUCCUACGGGAGGCAGCAGUGGGGAAUUUUGGACAAUGGGCGCAAGCCUGAUCCAGCCAUGCCGCGUGAGUGAAGAAAGGCCUCGGUGUAAGUAGUACUUCGUCGGUACGGAACGUACGUAGGUCGUCGUAACUACUAGACGACUGAGUGAGUACGGACGUAACGAACGACGAACGGCAACUACGUACGCACGCAGACG
This 509-nucleotide ribosomal RNA is filed under the name uncultured bacterium. RNAcentral describes it as "bacterial SSU rRNA". It matches the Rfam family "Bacterial small subunit ribosomal RNA", at positions 29 to 517 of the family's 1533-position model. The record is from RNAcentral.